GGCGGGAUAGCUCAGUGGUAGAGCAAGGCAAUCAUAAUGCUUGGGUCGGGGGUUCAAAUCCCUCUCCCGCUACCA
Molecule: transfer RNA, 75 nt
Filed under: Rickettsiales bacterium
Lineage: Bacteria; Pseudomonadati; Pseudomonadota; Alphaproteobacteria; Rickettsiales
Description: tRNA-Met
Rfam family: tRNA
About the family: Transfer RNA (tRNA) molecules are approximately 80 nucleotides in length. Their secondary structure includes four short double-helical elements and three loops (D, anti-codon, and T loops). Further hydrogen bonds mediate the characteristic L-shaped molecular structure. tRNAs have two regions of fundamental functional importance: the anti-codon, which is responsible for specific mRNA codon recognition, and the 3' end, to which the tRNAs corresponding amino acid is attached (by aminoacyl-tRNA synthetases). tRNAs cope with the degeneracy of the genetic code in two manners: having more than one tRNA (with a specific anti-codon) for a particular amino acid; and 'wobble' base-pairing, i.e. permitting non-standard base-pairing at the 3rd anti-codon position.
Source: RNAcentral